AUAUUACUGCAUAUAUUCUCAUAUAAUUAAAAACUUGUCAAUUGCUAUUCAGAAUAAUACACUAAACAAUUAGAAAAAGAAUGAAGUUUUGGCAAUUGAUAUCGCUUUUGUUGAUAAUAAUUUGUGUGAUUUUUAAUGAAGGUACAAAGAUGUCUAAGGAACCAGAUUUUAAUAAAUUUAAAUUAAAACAAAUUUUGAUGAAUGAUACACAACGAAAGAUGGUAGCUAUAGAAGGUAGUUUUGAAGGUAGUUCAGAACCAGCAGUUGUAGUUAUGGAAAAAUAUGGUUUUGACAAUAUUUCAAUAAUGAAUAUUUGUAAUCCUAGCACUAAACUUGUUAACGAUAUAGAUAAUGAUGUUUACAAAUCAUUCAGUUGUGUUCCACAAUAUAAUGAAAAUGUUUUUUCCAACAAGAUGGAUUUAAUAUAUCCAGCUACUCAAAAACAUAUUUUAAAAUUUUCUACUCAACCAUUGUACCUUGUGCAAGAAACCAGUGAAAUAUAUCAAGAUAUUACACUUCCCUAUAUAUUAGGAAACAGCUUAUCACUACAAUGGGUGUAUAAUUGCUUAGAGUACACAUCAGAAAAAGAAAGAAUAAAGUAUGAUACAGCUUCUGAGAAUGACAAAGAUGAUCACAUAAAUGGAUUUUUACUUAUGCCUGAUAUGAAAUGGUCUGGAAGAUUAGAUGAACUCUACUUAUUAGCUAUUAUUAAAAGAAGAAAUAUUAAAUCUCUGAGAGAUUUAACAGCUGAACAUUUACCUCUACUAAAAAAUAUACUAAAUAAAGGAUUGGCAGCUAUAUAUAAAUUAUAUGGAAUUCACUCUUCUCAGUUACGUAUAUAUAUUCAUUAUCAACCAUCAUUUUACCAUUUCCAUGUACACUUUACAUACUUAAUGCAUAAUCCACCAGGAAUAAAUGCAGAAAAAGCACACCUGCUAACAACUGUCAUCAAUAACAUUGAACUUCAAAACAAUUACUAUCAAAUUUCAACACUAAAUUUUGUUGUGAAAGAAGGUGACUCAUUAUUUAGAACAUUAGAAGAAAAAGGUAUUGUUUCUAAGGCACAAACAAUUGGUUUAAUUCCAGAAUAAUUUGAUGUGGCAAAUUAAAGUAUAUAACAUUCAUACAUAAAUUAAAAUCAUAAAAUACAAUCAUCUAAACUGAAAUACAAAAUUUAUUUCAGGAAGAGAUAAUGCAGUUAAACAGUAAAUUAGUACAGAUUUUUAUUUCAACUAAACUGUGAUAGAAUUAAAUUUUGAAUAUUCAGAAGUAUGGGCUGAUGAUAUUCUCGCCUAUGUUUGCAUUGAUGUAAUUCAGUUCACGUCUUGUAAUUCUUGGAUGUUUGUGAGGUAAAUCAAACGCCAGCAGCCACCAUAGUAAACACCAAGCAAUGCCCAAUGAUCCAUUCAUGUAAAAUACCACUCGCCAUCCAUAAUUACCAAUAAUGAAUCCACAUACCAUGUACGUCAAUCCGAUUCCAAAGCUAAACCCUGUCACCCAGGCAACAGCUCAAUUACCACCUAACCUAGACGCCAGUUACACACAUAUCACAAAUAGACAGGUAGAUAAAUGUACGUGUUUACCCGUUACGACCUCCCUUACUGCAUGUCAACACCAAAUUCAUAACUUGAUCAUUUUCUACUCAAAAUUAAUUUAAUUUUUUUUUUUUAGAUUAAAAUUACAUUUUAUUGAGUGAUAUAUAAAAAAAUAUGUAUAUUUUUCCAGAAUAUGUGAUUAUGAUUCUAUAAGAUUCACACUAUUUUAAAAUAUUCUUACAAAUAUUAAGACGAAACUUUUAUAACAUCGUAUCAUUUUUAAAACAACCUAACCUCAUCUUAAAACAUUCGAUGCCUAGGGAAACAGAAUGUGAAUCUAUAAUUCAAUGACUUAUAAAAAGUAAAAUGUCUAUUCCAAAUUUAAGAGUUAAAAUACGUCAGUAAAUACAAACUAAAAAUAUAUGUGUUGUAAUAUUAGUUUACAUGUCUGCAGAGACUAGAUAUUUAAAAAUAAGAAUAUAUUUUUAUUAAUUCAGAAUUUCAGAUUUAUGGAGCUUAAUUGUAUAUGAAUUUUAAAAUAUAACAUUAACAUACUACAGAGUAAAUAAAGUACAUAGAAAUUUAAAACGCAAGCCUCGUUGUGCCAAAUGACUUAUUACAAACUUCUUCGAUCACAAUUUUUAAAUUGGCGUAUAGCCAGAAAAAUUCUUAACAUUCCUAUAUCCUACUAUUAUCCCUCAAUAUAUAUACAUUUAUAUAUAUGUAUAAAUGAAACUAUUACUUUUCUGGGGUUAGAAUUCUGCUGCAAGAGUGAUUUUAUAAAACAAUCAUUCCAACUUGUACAUUUUCUUAUACUCAGACCCGUAUUAUAAAAUGUGUUACCGGGGAUAACAAAAAUUAAUUUCAGUUUUGCCUUUUGAGAAUUUUUUGGUUUAUCCUGUCUAUUUAGUGAGUAAAAAAAGGGAUUUUUGGCUUAAUUAUUACCGGGGGAAAUUUUGUGUCUAAAUUAAUCUCAAAAUACGGGCCUGUUUAUACUAUCUAUUUAAAUUUUUUUAUUAUAAACAUUUUUAAAUAAAAUAUAAAAUAAUUGUAUACCUUGAAAUGAUGACAUGAAUCUGCUCCGUUCAUUAGAUGGGAUCCAUAUACCAACAAGAGCAUACAUAGCAGGCCAAGUUAAC
Molecule: RNA transcript, 2674 nt
Organism: Daktulosphaira vitifoliae (grape phylloxera)
Lineage: Eukaryota; Metazoa; Arthropoda; Insecta; Hemiptera; Phylloxeridae
Gene: Dcps
Gene name: m7GpppX diphosphatase
Exons: 11
Source: RefSeq, a predicted model, not a curated record